This 82-nucleotide transfer RNA is filed under the name Canis lupus dingo (dingo). Lineage: Eukaryota; Metazoa; Chordata; Mammalia; Carnivora; Canidae. The record is from RNAcentral.
GCCGGUAGUCUCCAUGCCCUACAUGGGGCUUGAACUCACGACUCUGAGAUCAAGAGUCACAUGCUCUACCAACUGAGCCAGC